GGACUGACGGAUUCGUUGUCAUGCCCCGUUACAAGUGCUCUUAUUAGUUAGGAGGAGGAAGAGACGUUGCUUAGGGGACACGCAUCACACCUGGAAGUCUCCUACUCUCUUUCUUCUCUAUCUCUCUCCCGUCUUGGUUUGGUGAAAUCCGUGGGUUUGGAAUCCAAAUCGUCGUGAUUGAUCGUCGAGGACGAAUCAGUGGGCGAUUCCGUUAGCUAUGGUGGGGUGGGUGAUAGCGUUACACGGCGGCGCCGGAGCCAUUCCGAUCAAUCUCCCUGACGAGCGACGUAUCCCUCGCGAGACCGCCCUCCGUCACUGCCUCGAUCUCGGCGUUCCGCCCUCAAAUCCGGCAAACAUCCACUUGACGUCACCGAACUCGUCGUACGCCUCUCUCUCUCUCUCUCAGUCGGAUCGUUUUGUGAUUCGGUUAUCAUAUAGUUUUGUAGCUAUCGAUGAGGAAACUGAUUACUAGGAGACGAAAUAGAUAGUCAACGGUUUUAGUUUCUGAGUUAUGGUGUACACUGCUUAAUCUGAAUCUGAAACUAUCAGUUUUUUUCUAGGUUCUGGUUAAGCUUAAUAUUGAGUUCUCUUUUACUUUUUCUUGCACAUGCAUUCUUGCUUGUCUUGAUGGGUAUAUGAACAUAGCAAUGGAUCAGACAGAGGAGUAUGUCAACGGCCAGCUCAAGAACAAAUACGGUGAUGCCUUGGCGCUUAGAGAUGAGUACUUUGCUGUUGAUGAUGAUGAAGAAGAAGCUGCUGCGUUGGCGCUUAGAGAUGAUGAGAUUCGAUCACAAAGCAUUUAUAGCUCUCGGCUUUGUUGCGUUAAGAGCUGAUGGAGAGAGGGAGCUUCUGUUCUUCAGACACCCAAGUGCUGAUAUGCUUCUUACGGAAGCUGAGCUUGACAAGAACUUAAUCCAAAAGGUGAGAUGACUUAUGUAAAUCUUCAACUAAACCCUGAGAUGAUGAUCAUCAUCAUCAGCUUGCCAAGAAACUAACAGCCGUUGACCUUGUUGCUAUUGGAGUUGGAACAACAAUUGGAGCAGGAGUGUAUAUUCUAGUGGGAACAGUAGCUAGACAACACACAGGACCUGCUCUUGCUGUAUCGUUCUUCAUCGCUGGAGUAGCAGCUGCUCUCUCCGCUUGUUGCUAUGCUGAGCUUGUUCUUAUUGUCCAUCUGCUGGCAGUGCUUAUCAUUAUGCUUACAUCUUCUUGGAGAAGGCUUACUAACCGAGUAGCAAACAUCGAAUCGUACACGUGUCAUAGCGGCCACGAAACGGGAAGGUCCUUCUAGUUCCAACAACAGUAACGACGCAGCAAGCAGAGAUGCAAAGGAAAACAAUGCGCUCUAAAACAUUCAGUCACAGAAUCAAUUAAAGGCAUAUACAUGAUGAUGAUCAUUGUUUAUAGCUUUCGUCCUAAAAACCAAACAGGUGAGGUACUAGAAAGGUCAUUCCACUUGGAACAUUCCUAUUGGCAACCAUUGGGAAGUUUAACAAAACGGUGCUGAAACUUCAAUCAAACAACACAAGAAUACACCAAGAGGUGUUUUACAGGUCACUGUUAUGUUUAGUUUAAGUUGGAUGUGUUUGUCUGGUUUUAGCGCCAUAUCUCAAAAUUCAGUAAUUGAAGUUGUAUUCUGUAUCAUUUAGAUGUCUGUGAUUACAUUGUAUGCUCUAUCAAUCGCAUAUUGCAGGCAAAAUAAAUACUAAAACUACCUUAA
Molecule: long non-coding RNA, 1720 nt
Organism: Brassica napus (rape)
Lineage: Eukaryota; Viridiplantae; Streptophyta; Magnoliopsida; Brassicales; Brassicaceae
Exons: 7
Source: RefSeq, a predicted model, not a curated record